Molecule: ribosomal RNA, 691 nt
Filed under: Psychrobacter sp. K337
Lineage: Bacteria; Pseudomonadati; Pseudomonadota; Gammaproteobacteria; Moraxellales; Moraxellaceae
Description: bacterial SSU rRNA
Rfam family: Bacterial small subunit ribosomal RNA
Source: RNAcentral
CGAGCGGAAACGAUGAUAGCUUGCUAUCAGGCGUCGAGCGGCGGACGGGUGAGUAAUACUUAGGAAUCUACCUAGUAGUGGGGGAUAGCUCGGGGAAACUCGAAUUAAUACCGCAUACGUCCUACGGGAGAAAGCAGGGGAUCAUUAGACCUUGCGCUAUUAGAUGAGCCUAAGUCGGAUUAGCUAGAUGGUGGGGUAAAAGGCCUACCAUGGCGACGAUCUGUAGCUGGUCUGAGAGGAUGAUCAGCCACACCGGGACUGAGACACGGCCCGGACUCCUACGGGAGGCAGCAGUGGGGAAUAUUGGACAAUGGGGGCAACCCUGAUCCAGCCAUGCCGCGUGUGUGAAGAAGGCCUUUUGGUUGUAAAGCACUUUAAGCAGUGAAGAAGACUUUUCGGUUAAUACCCGGGAACGAUGACAUUAGCUGCAGAAUAAGCACCGGCUAACUCUGUGCCAGCAGCCGCGGUAAUACAGAGGGUGCAAGCGUUAAUCGGAAUUACUGGGCGUAAAGCGAGCGUAGGUGGCUUGAUAAGUCAGAUGUGAAAUCCCCGGGCUUAACCUGGGAACUGCAUCUGAAACUGUUAGGCUAGAGUAGGUGAGAGGGAAGUAGAAUUUCAGGUGUAGCGGUGAAAUGCGUAGAGAUCUGAAGGAAUACCGAUGGCGAAGGCAGCUUCCUGGCAUCAUACUUAC